ACUAUGUAGCCAGUUGGGCCUUGAACUCAAGAUUCUCCUGCUUCAAGUCUCCUAGGCACUGAAUUGCGAGCCAGUGCUACCUACCAUGCCAGGCUACACCUUAGAUAUUUGGUUAGCUGACAACUCAGUGAGAUUGGCAUGAAAUAGAACAUGAAAGGUUGCUGGCACUGUAGCUCUGUGACAGCACUUAUCUGCCUUGGGCAAGGCCUGGGUCCAACCCUUGGUACUAAUCAAUUAAUCAAUUGGUACGUAGCCAAGUCUAGUAGUACACGCCUAUUAUCCCAGUACCUGAGUUGCUGGAAAGGUUGGGGAUUUGAGGUCGUUCUUGGCCACAUAAUAAACUCAAGGACAGCCCAGUUACAUGAAAUCUCCUCUUUAAAAUCUGAAAAAGAAAAUCUCUGUAAGUUGGCUUUGAUCCUCGCCUCUUGCCACCGGAUUUCCUCAGGAACCAGUAGCUCCUGGUUACUCCUCAACCUUCACAGCUCCUUUGCUGAAACCUAUACGAUUGGCCACCCCCCCCCCAUUUUAGAGUUAUUUCUUCAGGGAACUUCUCUCUUUGCCACUGUUUCGCUAAAUGUUACCCCACCUCUCUGCUCCCUAAAUCAGGAUUUCCCCAGUUCCCUUUUGCUUUUUCUGUUUCCAUGGAAACCUCCUCUGGUCCCACCCAGUGGUGAAGACUCUAUCUAGCUCUGGUCUCACAGUUUCAGUUGACUUCUGAUCAUCUCCAUCUUGGUGACUCAUGAAGUCUUCAAAUGUCGGAUGCCCAGAAGAGGGGCAGGGGUCUUUCCUUUAGAAUGUGUACUUCGUCCACAACUUACCCAAAGCAGACAGGCAUUCUCCCUUUCUCAUGAAGCACGAAAAUAUAAUCCUGUAAUUACAUCCAAUAAAUGGGUCUGCCUGAAGCCCAGCCCUAAAUCACUUGGUCCAGAAUUGUCACUAUCCCCCACUGCUGUGGAUGCUUUGAGAAUAAAGCCUUGGGCUGGAGAGAUGGCUCAGCCACUAAAGUCUAGGCUCAUAACCACAAACAUAAGAGAAGAAAG
RNAcentral lists this long non-coding RNA (1040 nucleotides) under Rattus norvegicus (Norway rat). Its description in RNAcentral is "long non-coding RNA NONRATT017818". Lineage: Eukaryota; Metazoa; Chordata; Mammalia; Rodentia; Muridae. The record is from RNAcentral.